UACGAAGGGUGCAAACGUUGCUCGGAAUCAUUGGGCGUAAAGCGCACGUAGGCGGCUCCAAAAGUCGGAUGUGAAAUCCCUGGGCUCAACCGAGGAAGUGCAUCCGAAACUGCGGAGCUUGAGUAUGGAAGAGGGUCGCGGAAUUCCCGGUGUAGAGGUGAAAUUCGUAGAUAUCGGGAGGAACACCAGUGGCGAAGGCGGCGACCUGGGCCAAUACUGACGCUGAGGAGCGAAAGCGUGGGAAGCGAACAGG
RNAcentral lists this ribosomal RNA (253 nucleotides) under uncultured bacterium. Its description in RNAcentral is "partial 16S ribosomal RNA". It matches the Rfam family "Bacterial small subunit ribosomal RNA", at positions 524 to 776 of the family's 1533-position model. The record is from RNAcentral.